UGGUUAUCCCCUUUGGUUAUCCCCUUUGGUUAUCCCCUUUGGUUAUCCCCUUUGGUUAUCCCCUAAAGGGGAACUAAAGGUUCCCCUUUAGUUCAUCCCCGAAGGGGAACCCCUUCUUCCCCUAAAGGGGACUUCUUCCCCUAAAGGGGAACCCCUUUAGUUCCCCUAAAGGGGAUGAACUAAAGUUCCCCUUUAGUUCUUCCCCUUUAGGGGAACCCCUUCUUCCCCUUUAGGGGACUCUGUCUUCUUUAGGGGAAGAAGUUCCCCUUCGGGGAGGAACACCCCUUUGGUUCAUCCCCUUUAGGGGAACUAAAGAAGACGAAUNAAAGGGGAACUAAAGUUCCCCUUUAGGGGAAGACUUCAUCCCCUAAAGGGGAACUAAAGGGGUUCUUCCCCUAAAGGGGAACUUUAGUUCAUCCCCUAAAGGGGAACUUUAGUUCCCCUUUAGGGGAAGAAGAAGAACACUAAAGGGGAUGAAGACAACCUUUGGUUCCCCCUUUGGUUCAUCCCCUAAAGGGGGAACUAAAGGGGUUCCCCUUUAGUUCUUCAUCCCCUAAAGGGGAACCAAAAUCUUCCCCUAAAGGGGAAAAACACUAAAGGGGAUGAAGACAACCUUUGGUUCCCCGAGGGGGCCGAUGUUUGUUCCCCUAAAGGGGAAGCGCUUGGCCGUUAGCGAAAGCGUCGGGUAGUUGGCUCCGCCGAUCUUAACGCGUCGUUCGAGGCUUUGUUUAUAACUUAUCGUGAAUAUGGUUAAACUUUAUUAAAUUCAAAUUCAUGUGAGAUUCGUUAAGCUACUACUCGCGGGGCUUCGCCCUAAAAACAUUUUACGCAGCACCUUUAUUAUAGGGCCACGUCGUUAAUAAUUUCCCUUCGGGAAACAUAUGAACGACAGGCCGAAGGCAUGGAGUUGUUAGUUCUCUAGCCCUUCCAUCCCCUUUAGUUCAUCCCCGAAGGGGAACACAUCCCCUUUAGUGUUCUUCUUCUUCUUCCCCUUCGUUU
Molecule: long non-coding RNA, 999 nt
Filed under: Volvox carteri
Lineage: Eukaryota; Viridiplantae; Chlorophyta; Chlorophyceae; Chlamydomonadales; Volvocaceae
Description: long non-coding RNA (VCAR_LNC004344)
Source: RNAcentral